UGCUGUAUAACAGUGUAAGCUUCAGCUAACAUAAAGUAAAUUUAUUCUAUCAGGCCUUCCUUAUCAUCAGUUGCUCACAUAAUAUAUGCAGUAGGAGCCAAAACUGUAUUAUUUAACAUGCUGCAGGUUAGUAGUUCAAGCUUCAGAGGAUAAUAAGCUCGAGUUAUGGAGCAUUCCAACAAUCGCUCCACCGAGAGAAGGUUAAGAUUUUUCGGUGAGGCUGGCAAUUCAUCAGUUGUUACACAGUAAAGUAGCUAUAGUUGCUUCCACUCGACAAAAGUAAAGAACCAUUUUUUCUUCCUCUGCUGCGUUUCUGGCCUUCCUUAUCAUCAGUUGCUCAUCUAAUAUAUGAGCUGGAGCCGAAACUGUAUUAUUUUAACAAGCUGCGGGUUAGUAGUUCAAGCUUCAGAGGAUAAUAAGCUCGAGUUAUGGAGCAUUCCAACAAUCGCGCCACCGAGAGAAGGUUGAGAGUAGUCAUCACUCUAUCGUGGAUCCGGUAAAUGACAGCCAGGGGUUGUUCUCCUGUAGACAUAUCAUAAUGGUGGGUUUUGAUGUUUAAAGUUAAAGACUUUUGAAGUCCUGGAUCGCUAAGUGACAUAGGAAAAUUUAGAAAACAUUCGAAGUGGGCUGGGCCGUUACAAAGACUAGACUCUACUAACCCUAAAAUGGAGUCUUCAAAGUUUCUGUGUCUACAGUCGUGAAGUGCAACAAAGAUAGAAGUUUUGAGACCAUUUCUAAUUAAAAAUUGAAUUCCUAUCUGUACCGCUCCUUUGUGUAAAUAUUUGUAUUUCUUCUUUUUAUGUUGUACUAAUAUUUUUGGGGUAAACAAUUGAAUAGUUUGAUAACUGAUCCUAUCUCAAUUGUUAUUUCUUGGGUUUUAAUUGAAUAUAACGUUUUGAAAUCAAAAGUUUCUAUUUUGUAAAUUUCAUUAUAACUUUUCUUUGGUAAUUUUCAGUUUCCUACAAUUUUAGUCAAACUAUAAGAAGACCAUUCUAUACAGUUCAUCAUAGUUUUUGAAACACUAUCUAAUACCGAAGAUAGGGAUUCAAAAAGUUUUAGGGAGAUACACUUACUUCUUAGGUUGAAGAUUUCGACGGGGCACCCAUUGUGCCACUUGCAAUUACCAUUGGAACCACAAGUUGCUAUUUCCUUCUAGGCUUCUUCCUAAGGUUUGAGUUUUUUCUCACUAAUUCUCUCAGGGAAGAAAGUGGCAAAUUUUUGAUGGAGGACUACUUUAUUGAACGUUUAGUGUUCAAGUAUGCUGAAUUUGGACCACGCUACAGCAUGAGUCACAAUGUCUUCAACCGCAUAUCUCCUGACAUUUUCAACUAUGACUGAUACUUUGUUCAUAAAUAAGAUGCUACCAAGAAAGUUGGACUAUUUUCGAAGUCGAAGAUGACAUCUUCCUUGCAAAUGUUUGCAUACGGUGCUAGGGCAGAUCAAUGCACUAAGUUUUGUUGGAUGGCGAAAUCUACCUCCAUCUAGUGCCUUCAAUGUUUUACAUAAGGAAUCGCUGCUGUCUACUUAAAAGAAUAUCUCUGUGCUCCUAAUGCAGUCGACCUUAGAAGCCUUUUUGUCAAAACUAAGAUAAGAGGUUUUUCAAGGAUGAUUGGGAGCAUUGACUGUAUUCACUGGCAAUGAAAGAAUUACCCAACCAAUUGGGCUGGAGAAUAUAGUGGUCAAAAAUAUUUUCCCACUAUCAUCCUUGAAGUGGUCGCAUCAUAUGACACUUGGAUAUGACACUAGUGAAAGGUGGUUGUGAGAAUCUACUUGCUAAAGGUGGUUGCAUAUAGUAUCCACCGAGAAAAGGUGUUUGAAAAUUUGACCCACCUGUUAUAUUUUCAUCUUCUCUAUCCACUAUCUUCUUUUGUUUUUUCUGACAAUUUUUCUUUUUGGCGUCAUCUGUCUUGUA
RNAcentral lists this long non-coding RNA (1912 nucleotides) under Rosa chinensis. RNAcentral describes it as "sRNA RchiOBHm_Chr7g0216221". Lineage: Eukaryota; Viridiplantae; Streptophyta; Magnoliopsida; Rosales; Rosaceae. The record is from RNAcentral.